AAACUGAGGACUCAGAAAUUAAAUAACUUGCCUAAGAUGGUAGAGCUCUCUUCAAACAGAACCAGAAAUUAUGGCGCUAGAAAAAUACCUGCUUAUCUUAGAGCCAAAACAUUUCAAUUUUAAAAAAUGGCCUCGUAUGGCAGAUACAUAAGUCAGGUAUGCCACUCCUGGGAUCAUAUCGGACGGGAGGCAGGAUUAGAUUACAGCUCCAGACAGAGCAGCAUGCAGAGGCUUGCCUUGUGAAUUUUAGCUCCAGAUCGACUGCAAGAACAAACCAGCAAUCCUGAGAGGAUCCACAGACUCUCUGAAGGAAGCAGACUGCUCCUGCAGGACCCAGGAGACCCCCAAAUACUAUCCUGUGCAUGUCCACGGAGCGUUUCUGAUCCAGCUCCCCGUUUUUAAUAAGGAACUCUUCAACAAGAAAUAAACUCCCUCUACUCAUUCAUGGUUCCACCUCAGUUUUAUGAACAGACAAGUGCACAAGCUGGUCCCAAAUAAUGAUGUGUCUGGUAUGUUUAACAUUUGUGUGGCAGCUGGUGGAAAACCUUAAGGUUUUUUUUCCUCCUAUUCCUUCCUGCGAAGGCGUAUGCUUCUUCUAGAAUGUCAUUUGCAUAUACGCAUACACUUAUAUACAUACACACAUAUAGGUACAUAUGAACACAUAUAAAGGACUCAGAUUAUAUGUUAAGUUGGUAGGACAUAAUGUAUUAGGCUUAGCAUUACAGAAGAUUUAGAGAUGAAUCAACACUUGGUUUAUAGUCAAGGAGCUUAAAUCUGAUAGAGAAGACAUAGCAUGUUCACAGAUAACUCUAAUCCAGGAGAAAAUGUAAUAAGGGCCAGGACAAAGAGACAGCUACAGCACUACCGGAGUUUCAAAGGAGGGAGAGAUUGCAUGCAUGCCUCCGAUAGUUGCAGGAACAGUGGAGACAGUGGCAGAGGAGGCAUCUGAGCUGCAUCCUGAAAGAUGGACCGAAUUUGCCUCUGCCAACAUGAGGAGGUGGGAUAUCCAAAUGACAGAGGGCACACAUAAAGAUCCAGAAGUAGGUAAAAAGGCAUGUCUAGGGACCACUGAAGACACUACUUGGGCCAGAACAAGGGGCCCAUGGAGGGGAGUAAAGGUCAAUUGAUUUGGGGAAAGAGGGUAUGUAUUAGUUUUCUUGGUUGCUAUAACAAAUUGCUGGCUGGGCGUGGUGGCUCAUGUCUAUAAUCCUAGCACUUUGGGAGGCCGAGGCACGCAGAUUGCUUGAGCCCAGCUCAAGCAACAUAGCAGAUUGCUUGAGCCCAGCUCAAGAUCAGCCUGGGCAACACAGGGAAACCCCAUCUCUACAAAAAUUUUUAAAAAACUAGCCAAGCAUUGUGGCGCAUACCUGUGGUCCCAGCUACUUGAGAGGCUGAGGCCGGAGGAUCACUUGGGCCUGGGAGGUUAAGGCUGCAGUAAGCUAUGAUGUGCCACUGCACUCCAGCCUGGAUGACAGAG
This is a long non-coding RNA of Gorilla gorilla gorilla (western lowland gorilla), 1477 nucleotides long. RefSeq lists it as uncharacterized. Lineage: Eukaryota; Metazoa; Chordata; Mammalia; Primates; Hominidae. The transcript is spliced from 3 exons. The record is from RefSeq and is a predicted model, not a curated record.